Molecule: long non-coding RNA, 4299 nt
Filed under: Homo sapiens (human)
Lineage: Eukaryota; Metazoa; Chordata; Mammalia; Primates; Hominidae
Description: non-protein coding lnc-GABPA-3:8
Source: RNAcentral
GAGGCAGUUGCUGAAGGAGAGAACAGGUGGAGGCCAUCUGACAGUGACAUUCCUCAAAGCUGGGCAGCACAUUCUUCCUUGAAGGGGUCUGUCUGACACACCUCCGUAUCUGCCACAUGGGAAUAGGGUGAGUUUUAUUUUCCUUUAGUUUGUAUUUCUGUGUAUUCCACAUUUCCAAUAAUGAAUGAGUGGCUUUUUAACCACAAAUGAAAUAAAAGUUAUUAUUAUAAUAUAUAGCAACCAACAAUCUUAACUAUUGAACAGUUGGUUAGUUACUUAUUAACUGUCUGUUUCAGAAAGUUAUGUGCAGACCCCUUCCAAGUAAACACAUUCCAUCCCAAUAAAUCAAGGCGUUAUUAAUCCUCCCGUGCAAUUGAAAGAAAAUGAUUCUUCUGCAGCAUCAGUUGAUAUUUGUCAUUUUGAAAUAUACAUAGGCAGUGGACAUCAAUUUCAGCUAUUGCCAAUGUUAAUUUUAUCCUGUAUCUCUACCAGAGUGUAAAAGACUGGAUCCUUCCAACAAUAUUAGUCACAGUGUAUAAACCUUGGAAAGCAUUAUUUUAUCAUCUUUUGGAAGAAUGGAGUUCUCACAGCAGGCUUAAAGCAGUAGAGACUUCCAAAGGGGGUCAUGGUGGAAAAAAGGAAGAGAGUCGACUAUCAUCCUCCAAUAAUGCCGGUAAAAAAACUUGUCAGAUCCUCACACGAAAGGGACCUUCUAAGAACAAGAUGCAAGUAGAAUCAUCAGAGUGACGGCUUUUCAAACUUUAAAUUAUUUAUGGGUUAUGUACUCGGAUCCUGGGCAGGCUGGUGUCAAGAGAGCUUCAUCCAGAAAAGAAUAAAAAUUUCCUGAUUUUACUGAUGGAAAGAUGAACUGAGGGAGCAAGAAAAUUAUACAGAGAAUUUUACAGACCCAAAGGCUGAGAGAAAUGUAGGGCUGCUGGGUUUCCUACAUCAAUCUGGAAUAACUGCACUGAGAUGUUGGGAAUUCAUCCAUGCAAAAUUACUUGAGUAGAAAAAUUAUUUUCUACUACAAACCCACAAAAUAGAGGAUCAAUAAACUGCCAGGAGAUAGAAAACACUGAGUAAUCACGUGUAUCAAACUGAAGAGCUGUUGCUGCUGUAUACUUCGGAGACUCUGCUGUAUGUCUAAUUAAGCAACUGAAAUGAUUUUUGGACUAUAACAUGUACUUUAAAAGUGGAAUUUGAAGGGCAACUCUGUCUUUUCUAGGUUUAACCUGUGCAAGUAUGAAUCUUGAGUCACCAGUGGUGAGACUCAGCAAAAUCUCUAGGUAAUGAUUCAACUGGGUUAGGACAAGGCUGAACCGAUCACGGAUUCGUUUAGCAAAACAUGCAGAAUCGUCAAGCUCUCUUAACCUUGUUGGGGAUUUAGGAGGUAUUUUUGUUUUUGUUUGUUUGUUCUCAUCUUGUUUUUGUUUUGCAUGCUACCACCUGCAGCUGUUAGAGCAGUGAAUAGAACCAAAAUUGGGGAGUUUAGCUUCUAGCGCAGGGUGUGCUGGUGGUAGAUAAGCAAUAAAUAAAAUGAAUAAGUAAAUUUGAAUCAGUUGAUAUUUAGAGUGCAAUUAGGUACCAUGGAUAAAAAUCAUGCUAUGAAAGAUGUAUAGGGAAAAGGGAGGGAGGAGAAGGGAAAUUUGAAGUCAGUAGAAGAGGGAAGGCCUUGAUGUGAAGGGGACAUUUGAACAAAGACUUGAAAAAGGCAGGAGCAUGCGGUGUGAGUAUCUUGGAAAUGAUUGCUGCAGGCAGAGGAAACAGCAAAUGCAAAGGCCCUGCAUCACUCAGAGCAGGAGAUCGAUGACACAAUCAAAUUGGAUAUUGUGAAGAGAGUUUUUAAAAGUGUUAAUUAUAAACCUGUGAGCAGGUUAUAGGGAAAUGACAAGGGGCAGUAUAGUAUUUAGGAGACGAAGACAGUGGGGUGCUAUCAUCAUCACUAAGCCUGCCUGAGUGGCAGGAAAGUAGCUAUUAGAAUUUAGAGUAAGAGACAGCUGUGUUGAGAGUCUGCCCACCAGGAGCUGUGACCCUUAGGCCGAGGAUGUGGCAUCUGCAUAAACACUGCAGGAAAGAAGCACUGGAGUAAAGACCCACUGACCCCACUCUUGUCCCUUCCUUACAUCUUCAUCUGAGCUCCCCAUUGGACGAAACCGACCUGGAAGCAGAGGUCCGGGGAGAGAAUUGAGAUGGGUCAUAGAGUUUAUCCUUCCAGGGCAUAAAACAGGCUUGAGAAGGGUGGAGAGUGUCUGUGCCUGGAAGGGCAAACAAAAGGCAUCUGGCACAGCUCUAAGCUGAGAUCAUGGCUGAUGUGAAGAGGAGUAGCAAGGCUGUCACUGUGAUUAUAGAGGAAGGAUUGAGGAGGGGAAUAUCAGGAGAUGAGUUCAGACAAAUUGCAGAGUAGAGUUUCAUGGGCAUUGUCAGGCAUUGAGAAGUCCUUAGCUAUCACUGUGAGUCAAAUAGAGAGCUGUGGAAGAGUUCUGUGUGAGGCGAUGAUGUGAGCAGACAUCACUUAAAAGUAUCUCCCUGGCUGCUGAGUUAAGAACAGACUGACGUGGGGCAAGGGUGGAAUCAUGAGACCAAGGAGGAUGCUUUUGCCUAAUUUGGGCGAGAGAGAGUGGUUUGAACAGAUGGAUGCAGUGGAGGUUGUAAGAAUGGAGAGGUUUCUGAAUACAUUUUAAAAGUAGAGCCAAUCAGAUUUGCUGAUAGAUUGAAUUGGAGGGAGGUGUGUGAGGGAAAGAGAGGAGUCAAGGAAUCGAGGAUGACUCUGAAUUGGAAGCAUGGAGUUGCCAUGGAUUGAUUUGAGAACACUGCGGAAGGAGUGCAGUUAUUGAGGAAAACUCAAACAUUGGUUUUGGAUAUGUUGAGCUUGAGAUGUCUCUUGGGAUGUGAGGAAUAGGCAGUUGGCUUUAUGAGUCUUGACUUUAAAAGAGAGAUUAUAGUGAAUUCUUAUAAUUUUAUGAUGCCUCGGCAUCAAUUUUGAGUGUAAGUUGGACCUUCAUAUGCCAACAACAGGGCUUUGUCACCUGUGACACAGUUUACAGUUCUCUGCCUUCUCCUAGUCUCUCACUGUCAUCAAUACAGCCACCUCCUGGUAACCACCUCCCUAUGGGAGAGCUAGAUACAACCUCCUUGACUCACCACACUAUUUUCCUAUUUAUGAAACAGGGUGGAUCUCUUUUUCCUCUGUCUUCUCAAACAUACACUCUUUCAAAACCCUCUGUGGCCUAACCUUUCUCUGGCGAUACAAGUCAUGCUUGGUUUAACCCCCAAGCCCAGCAUAGACAGUGUGGCUAUGCCACAGUGAUCACCUCUCAGUCACAGUGUACCUCCAUGGAACUCAUGCCUGCUUGCUCAAACCUAUCAAUUAGAAAUCCCCUUGGUAAACCUGCUUGGGGAAUGCCCUGGACUUCGGUAAAGGCAUUGGCUCACAGGUCCUUUUCUCUCUCUCUCUUGCCGCCCACUCACUGGUUGAGUGUGUAUGUCCUGGAUGACUACCCCCUUCCCAUUGGCCCUGAGAGGCAUGCUGCCCUCUUCAUUCUGGGAUCUGUAAUUAAUAAACUGUUUCUGCAUUUCAUGAGUUUUGUUGUGUUGCAUCCUCUGUGUCUCACCUAACUAACACACUUGAAUCUAACUUCUUUCCUAGUCAGGGGUCUCUUAGAGAGCAGUGAUCUUAGUAGGAAUAAACUGAUAUAGGUCAGACAAAAGCCACAAGGGCAUCUUGCAGUAUAAACAGGUUUCCUGUGAAAGAGACACCUGGUAGCAAGUCAGACACUCAGGCAUUAGGUCAUCCACUGGGAUAAAGAAGUAUCACGGGUGUGGUGGCUCAUGCCUGCAAUCCCAGCACUUUUGGAGGCCAAAACGAGUGGAUCACCUGAUGUCAGGAGUUCGACACCAGCCUGGCCAACAUGGCAAAGCCCCAUCUCUACCAAAAAUACAAAAAUUAGCUGGGUGUGGUGGCGGGUGCCUGUAGUCCCAGCUACUCAGGAGGCUGAGGCAGGAGAAUGGCUUGAACUUGGGAGGUUGAGGUUGCAGUGAGCUGACAUCACAGCACUGCACUGCAGCCCAGGCAACUAAGACCCCGUCCCAAAAAACAAAACAAAACAAAUGAAACAACAACAACAACAACAACAACAAAGGAAGUAUCAAGUGAAAGGCACAUUGUAAACAUCCACGACCCCCUUCCCUGGAGCCCUGUGAGGGCAGGGCUAGAAUUUAUAGACACACUCCAGAGAGAGAGAGAGAGAGAGAGAGAGAGAGAGAGAGAGAGAGAGACCUCAAGAGCAAAUCAGAGGAAAU